RNAcentral lists this long non-coding RNA (221 nucleotides) under Lupinus angustifolius (narrow-leaved blue lupine). Its description in RNAcentral is "long non-coding RNA (LANG_LNC001086)". The record is from RNAcentral. Lineage: Eukaryota; Viridiplantae; Streptophyta; Magnoliopsida; Fabales; Fabaceae.
UCUAUGUUACUUUAAUCAUUCUCAUUUAUCAUUUAUCAUUUAUCAAUUCUAAUUUAAUUCCUCUCAACAUAUUUAUUCAUUAUUAAUCUUAUUAUUUUCUGAGUGCUUUAGUGAUCACAAUUUAAAUGAAAAGUGGUUAGUGAAUUAAGACUCUCCAUACAUUCUUAUAUUUAAAGAGGGUGAGUCUCGGCGCAAAGCUGCAAUAUAUCUACCAUCCCCGA